UGCGUAGGCGGGUCUUUAAGUCAGGGGUGAAAUCCUGGAGCUCAACUCCAGAACUGCCCUUGAUACUGAGGAUCUUGAGUUCGGGAGAGGUGAGUGGAACUGCGAGUGUAGAGGUGAAAUUCGUAGAUAUUCGCAAGAACACCAGUGGCGAAGGCGGCUCACUGGCCCGAUACUGACGCUGAGGCACGAAAGCGUGGGGAGCAAACA
This 207-nucleotide ribosomal RNA is filed under the name uncultured bacterium. RNAcentral's name for it is "partial 16S ribosomal RNA". It matches the Rfam family "Bacterial small subunit ribosomal RNA", at positions 568 to 774 of the family's 1533-position model. The record is from RNAcentral.